This 772-nucleotide ribosomal RNA is filed under the name uncultured Clostridia bacterium. RNAcentral's name for it is "bacterial SSU rRNA". It matches the Rfam family "Bacterial small subunit ribosomal RNA", at positions 96 to 893 of the family's 1533-position model. The record is from RNAcentral. Lineage: Bacteria; Bacillati; Bacillota; Clostridia.
UGGCGAACGGGCUGAGUAACACGUGAGUAACCUGCCUUACACAAGGGGAUAGCCUCUGGAAACGGAGAAUAAUACCCUAUAAAGUCUAAUCAGCCCAUGCUGGAAAGACCAAAGAUUUAUCGGUGUAAGAUGGACUUGCGUCUGAUUAGCUAGUUGGUGAGAUAAAAGCUCACCAAGGCGACGAUCAGUAGCCGGCUUGAGAGAGUGUACGGCCACAUUGGGACUGAGACACGGCCCAAACUCCUACGGGAGGCAGCAGUGGGGAAUUUUGCACAAUGGGGGAAACCCUGAUGCAGCGACGCCGCGUGAUUUAGAAGGCCUUCGGGUUGUAAAAAUCUUUUUUACGGGAUGAAAAUGACAGUACCGUAAGAAUAAGGUCCGGCUAAAUACGUGCCAGCAGCCGCGGUAAUACGUAUGGACCGAGCGUUGUCCGGAAUCAUUGGGCGUAAAGGGUACGUAGGCGGCCUAGUAAGUUAGAAGUUAAAGAAUAUAGCUCAACUAUAUAAAGCUUUUAAAACUGCUAGGCUUGAGAGAUGGAAGGGAAAGUGGAAUUCCUAGUGUAGCGGUGAAAUGCGCAGAUAUUAGGAAGAAUACCGGUGGCGAAGGCGACUUUCUGGUCAUCAUCUGACGCUGAGGUACGAAAGCGUGGGUAGCAAACAGGAUUAGAUACCCUGGUAGUCCACGCUGUAAACGAUGAGUGUUAGGUUCUUGGAAUAAUCUGGGAGCCGCAGCUAACGCAUUAAACACUCCGCCUGGGAGUACGCACGCAAGU